Molecule: long non-coding RNA, 899 nt
Organism: Apis cerana (Asiatic honeybee)
Lineage: Eukaryota; Metazoa; Arthropoda; Insecta; Hymenoptera; Apidae
Source: RefSeq, a predicted model, not a curated record
CGUGUUGAUACAUGUGAGGAGGAAACAUCAUCGAUUUCGCCGACACGUAAAGUGCAAAAAACAUUUGGUGAACUUGUUAAAAAUUGAUCUUGAAGGAGAUUGUAAUCUUAAGGAGAUAUUUCAUAAAAAUUAUCGUAAGGAUCUUUAUCGAUUUCACGUUUCGCUCCAUCAAAAUUCUUGAACAGCAGUUUCUUAAGUGAUUCGAAACGAUUUACAACAACAACACCUUCCGAGGCAAGGUUGAAAUAUCGAAUUGUUGCCAUUCGAAGCGAGUCAAGAGAAGGUAGUUGCGGUCAGGGAGCUAAGCAAACACAUUACGUCAAUCGGUGAAUCGAACAUAGGUUCAUUAUGCAAGAAAACGAUAGAACGAGAGAACGUAAUUGAACACCCUUUGUCUCCGUAUCAUUGCAUCAUCUUCUAACUUUGUCUAUCGAAGAACAUACUUCGACCAACGAUUUUUUUGAUGAAGCACUAUGAAAAAUCUGAGACGAAAUACUAGCGAAACUACAAUUCUGUACAGUUCUGGAUCGAGUACUUAUCCCAGUAUCUAUUUAAAAAAAAGGAGAACAACGAUAUGAACGGCCCUGGACGAUGCUCCAUCAAUUUAGACGUCGGUAUUUCAUGCUUUAAUUUAGAACCUAGCUAUAUCGUGGAGGCUGCGGUGCAACAGGAAGCGGUCAAUUCAGGUCAGUUCGGAGGAAAACUGUGCAACGGGGCCUGCCUCCGAACGCCUUCCUUUUCCUUUUCCUUUCGAAAAAAUAAAUUUCGAAUUAUUCGGAAAAGUCGAUUCAGGACGAGGGAUUGAAAUGACAGGAAAUUUAUUUUUCUUUUUAUUAUUAUUAUUAUUAAUCGUUCAAAACACACCGUAAUUAUUUCAUCGAUUUUGCUAAUUGGUUCGA